ACUCCUACGGGAGGCAGCAGUGGGGAAUAUUGCGCAAUGGGCGGAAGCCUGACGCAGCCAUGCCGCGUGUGUGAAGAAGGCCUUAGGGGUUGUAAAGCACUUUCAAUUGGGGAAGAAAAGCUCAUGCCUAAUACGUAUGAGCCCUGACAUUACCUUUAGAAGAAGCACCGGCUAACUCCGUGCCAGCAGCCGCGGUAAUACGGAGGGUGCGAGCGUUAAUCGGAAUUACUGGGCGUAAAGCGCGCGUAGGCGGUUUGUUAAGUCGGAUGUGAAAGCCCCCGGGGCUCAACCUGGGAACUGCACCCGAUACUGGCCGACUAGAGUACGAGAGAGGAGGUAGAAUUCCAUGUGUAGCGGUGAAAUGCGUAGAUAUAUGGAGGAAUACCAGUGGCGAAGGCGGCCUCCUGGCUCGAUACUGACGCUGAGGUGCGAAAGCGUGGGAGCAAACAGGAUUAGAUACCCCUGGUAGACUGUCA
RNAcentral lists this ribosomal RNA (476 nucleotides) under uncultured bacterium. Its description in RNAcentral is "bacterial SSU rRNA". It matches the Rfam family "Bacterial small subunit ribosomal RNA", at positions 335 to 802 of the family's 1533-position model. The record is from RNAcentral.